CAAAGAGCUGCCUCACUAAGACUCUACACCUGAACACUUGUACCUAAUUGGGGCUAUUAACAGGCUAGGUCUGGGACUUCCUAUUCACACCUGUCUUUUUACUGGUAUAAUAAAAAAGGAAUUCUAGACUGCAGACAGAACGUUCUUUGAAGAAACUGAAAGGAAGAUUUGUACAAAUAACGGAAAUUUUGGUUCAGUGGCUGAGCCAAAGGCAUUGCAAGGUGAAGACGUGCAGAUAUCUUUAAGGUUCUUGUUUUAGACU
This 262-nucleotide long non-coding RNA is filed under the name Numida meleagris (helmeted guineafowl). RNAcentral's name for it is "lncRNA (ENSNMEG00000006704.1)". The record is from RNAcentral. Lineage: Eukaryota; Metazoa; Chordata; Aves; Galliformes; Numididae.